AAAAAAAGAGAGAAGACAUAAUUUUGCGAUUUGGAAACUUGACACGCUAGAAAAAAGGAAUUUAAUAGCUGAGUUCACGUCCUGCCAACAAAACUUAGAAGGAAUCAACAAACUUCAAGUUCAGGCGCAUAUGUGGUACCCUGUGGCCUAGCGAGAAGAUCGCAGAUGACAUGGGAGGCCUUCAUCUUCUGCAUCUGUCCGACCUUUUCAGCUCCUCUUCUGGUCACUCUGUCAAGGGGGCCUGGAACUCCUGAGAAGUGAAAGGACCAGCCCUAUCUCAGAUGGUGCGGGUUUCUUCACCCUGACCUCUGCCGUGUUUGCUUGGAGCCCCAGAGCUCAUCCUUCAAGGCCUUUUUAAAAAUAGCACAGCCUCUGUCAAGCCUUCUUGAAAAAUUAAAUUUUUUAUUGUAAAAACUUUCAAACAUAUAAAGAAUGUGAAAGAAUAGGCAAUUAUCUGUAUACUCAUCACCCACAUUCAAUAAUUGACAUUUUGCCGUCUUAGCCUCAUCUACCUAUUUCUACUGAAUCAUAUGAAACUCACUUGCAGACAUUAUGAUAUAGAACACCAAAAUCCAUAAACAUGUGU
Molecule: long non-coding RNA, 586 nt
Filed under: Pan troglodytes (chimpanzee)
Lineage: Eukaryota; Metazoa; Chordata; Mammalia; Primates; Hominidae
Description: long non-coding RNA NONPTRT015043
Source: RNAcentral